GCCUCAGACACACACACCAGCAGCUACACCUACACGCUGACCAUCACAGGCACACAGAGGCACAUCCACCUCACAUCCACCUCAUACUUGUGUACUCUCAGGGUUCAGUCUUUCAACCUAUCCCUCUCUGAUCUGUGCCUCCCAAUACCUUCCAAGAUGUUUACAGAGACCCUUCUUCCUGUGCAGUUAGGAGUGUAAGACAAGAGAGCCCCUACUUCAUGGGGCAGAUCAAGAGCUGAGACCAAAGAUGGUCUAUGUUGCUGACCUUGUCCUGUCCUCCUACUGUCUUAAACUAUGAUCCCUGCUGUGGUCACUGAAGCCUUUCCCUGUGAGCAGUGGUGUGUGAAAGCCAGGCGUCCCUCUGCCUGCCCACUCAGUGGCAACUCCUGGGAGCUGUUCUGUCCUUUGUGGAGCCUCAGCAGUUCCCUCUUUCAGAACUCGCUGCCAAGAGCCCUGAACAGGAGCCACCAUGCAGUGCUUCAGUUUCAUUAAGACCAUGAUGAUCCUCUUCAAUUUGCUCAUCUUUCUGUGUGGUGCGGCCCUGUUGGCAGUGGGCAUCUGGGUGUCAAUCGAUGGGGCAUCCUUUCUGAAGAUCUUCGGGCCGCUGUCGUCCAGUGCCAUGCAGUUUGUCAACGUGGGCUACUUCCUCAUCGCAGCCGGCGUUGUGGUCUUUGCUCUUGGUUUCCUGGGCUGCUAUGGUGCUAAAACUGAGAGCAAGUGUGCCCUCAUGACGGCUGAGCACUUCCUGACAUUGUUGGUAGUGCCUGCCAUCAAGAAAGACUACGGUUCCCAGGAAGACUUCACUCAAGUGUGGAACACUACCAUGAAAGGGGUAAGGUUGGCUGGGGGAGGUUUUAGGGUGGAGAGAAAGAAGCAAGGCCCCACCUCCACCCUCAUCUUGUCUCCAGCUCAAGUGCUGUGGCUUCACCAACUAUACGGAUUUUGAGGACUCACCCUACCUCAAAGAGAACCAUGCCUUUCCCCCAUUCUGCUGCAAUGACAACAUCACCAACACAGCCAAUGACACCUGCACCAAGCAAAAGGCUGAGGACCAAAAAGUAGAGGGUUGCUUCAAUCAGCUUUUGUAUGACAUCCGAACUAAUGCAGUCACCGUGGGUGGUGUGGCAGCUGGAAUUGG
Molecule: small RNA, 1138 nt
Filed under: Pongo abelii (Sumatran orangutan)
Lineage: Eukaryota; Metazoa; Chordata; Mammalia; Primates; Hominidae
Description: processed transcript
Source: RNAcentral